RNAcentral lists this ribosomal RNA (464 nucleotides) under uncultured Geobacteraceae bacterium. Its description in RNAcentral is "partial 16S ribosomal RNA". It matches the Rfam family "Bacterial small subunit ribosomal RNA", at positions 338 to 794 of the family's 1533-position model. The record is from RNAcentral. Lineage: Bacteria; Pseudomonadati; Thermodesulfobacteriota; Desulfuromonadia; Geobacterales; Geobacteraceae.
CCUACGGGGGGCAGCAGUGGGGAAUUUUGCGCAAUGGGGGCAACCCUGACGCAGCAACGCCGCGUGAGUGAUGAAGGCCUUCGGGUCGUAAAGCUCUGUCAGAGGGGAAGAAAUGCAGGUGGUGAACAACCAUUCUGUUUGACGGUACCCUCAAAGGAAGCACCGGCUAACUCCGUGCCAGCAGCCGCGGUAAUCCGGAGGGUGCGAGCGUUGUUCGGAAUUCUUGGGCGUAAAGCGCGUGUAGGCGGUUUGGUAAGUCUGAUGUGAAAGCCACGGGCUCAACAUGGGAAGUGCAUUGGAUACUGGCAGACUUGAGUACGGGAGAGGAGAGUGGAAUUCCCAGUGUAGGAGUGAAAUGCGUAGAUAUCAGGAAGAACACCGGUAGCGAAGGCGGCCACCUGGCCCGUUACUGACGCUCAGGGACGAAAGCGUGGGGAGCAAACAGGAUUAGAUACCCGUGUAGU